RNAcentral lists this ribosomal RNA (504 nucleotides) under uncultured bacterium. Its description in RNAcentral is "bacterial SSU rRNA". It matches the Rfam family "Bacterial small subunit ribosomal RNA", at positions 15 to 507 of the family's 1533-position model. The record is from RNAcentral.
GAUCAUGGCUCAGGAUGAACGCUAGCUACAGGCUUAACACAUGCAAGUCGAGGGGAAACGACAUCGAAAGCUUGUCUUUGAUGGGCGUCGACCGGCGCACGGGUGAGUAACGCGUAUCCAACCUGCCCACACUUGGGGAUAACCUUGCGAAAGUAAGACUAAUACCCGAUGAUAUCUCUAGAAGGCAUCUGAAAGGGAUUAAAGAUUUAUCGGUGAUGGAUGGGGAUGCGUCUGAUUAGCUUGUUGGCGGGGUAACGGCCCACCAAGGCAACGAUCAGUAGGGGUUCUGAGAGGAAGGUCCCCCACAUUGGAACUGAGACACGGUCCAAACUCCUACGGGAGGCAGCAGUGAGGAAUAUUGGUCAAUGGGCGAGAGCCUGAACCAGCCAAGUAGCGUGCAGGAAGACGGCCCUAUGGGUUGUAAACUGCUUUUAUAAGGGAAUAAAGUUAGUCUCGUGAGACUUUUUGCAUGUACCUUAUGAAUAAGGACCGGCUAAUUCCGUG